AUGCAAGUCGAACGAUGAAGCCCUUCGGGGUGGAUUAGUGGCGAACGGGUGAGUAACACGUGGGCAAUCUGCCCUUCACUCUGGGACAAGCCCUGGAAACGGGGUCUAAUACCGGAUACCACUCCUGCCUGCAUGGGCGGAGUUGAAAGCUCCGGCGGUGAAGGAUGAGCCCGCGGCCUAUCAGCUUGUUGGUGGGGUAAUGGCCCACCAAGGCGACGACGGGUAGCCGGCCUGAGAGGGCGACCGGCCACACUGGGACUGAGACACGGCCCAGACUCCUACGGGAGGCAGCAGUGGGGAAUAUUGCACAAUGGGCGAAAGCCUGAUGCAGCGACGCCGCGUGAGGGAUGACGGCCUUCGGGUUGUAAACCUCUUUCAGCAGGGAAGAAGCGAAAGUGACGGUACCUGCAGAAGAAGCG
RNAcentral lists this ribosomal RNA (419 nucleotides) under Streptomyces sp. 058-2.2-CV-H26(h)-04. RNAcentral's name for it is "bacterial SSU rRNA". It matches the Rfam family "Bacterial small subunit ribosomal RNA", at positions 55 to 492 of the family's 1533-position model. The record is from RNAcentral. Lineage: Bacteria; Bacillati; Actinomycetota; Actinomycetes; Kitasatosporales; Streptomycetaceae.